CUGGCGGGUGGAGAACGGCCUGCCCGGGGCCCUGGGGGCGCUCGGCGUGCUGCUGCUGUUCCGGUUCGCCACCGCCUGG
This 79-nucleotide transfer RNA is filed under the name Streptomyces lavendulae subsp. lavendulae. Its description in RNAcentral is "tRNA-Pro". Lineage: Bacteria; Bacillati; Actinomycetota; Actinomycetes; Kitasatosporales; Streptomycetaceae. The record is from RNAcentral.